RNAcentral lists this ribosomal RNA (465 nucleotides) under Vreelandella stevensii. Its description in RNAcentral is "partial 16S ribosomal RNA". It matches the Rfam family "Bacterial small subunit ribosomal RNA", at positions 338 to 795 of the family's 1533-position model. The record is from RNAcentral. Lineage: Bacteria; Pseudomonadati; Pseudomonadota; Gammaproteobacteria; Oceanospirillales; Halomonadaceae.
CCUACGGGGGGCUGCAGUGGGGAAUAUUGGACAAUGGGGGCAACCCUGAUCCAGCCAUGCCGCGUGUGUGAAGAAGGCCCUCGGGUUGUAAAGCACUUUCAGUGAGGAAGAACGCCUGGUGGUUAAUACCCAUCAGGAAAGACAUCACUCACAGAAGAAGCACCGGCUAACUCCGUGCCAGCAGCCGCGGUAAUACGGAGGGUGCGAGCGUUAAUCGGAAUUACUGGGCGUAAAGCGCGCGUAGGUGGCUUGAUAAGCCGGUUGUGAAAGCCCGGGGCUCAACCUGGGAACGGCAUCCGGAACUGUCAAGCUAGAGUGCAGGAGAGGAAGGUAGAAUUCCCGGUGUAGCGGUGAAAUGCGUAGAGAUCGGGAGGAAUACCAGUGGCGAAGGCGGCCUUCUGGACUGACACUGACACUGAGGUGCGAAAGCGUGGGUAGCAAACAGGAUUAGAUACCCUAGUAGUC